AAGUACCAAAAAAUAAACCUUUCUCAAAAGUCAAUAUCUCACUCUUUCUUCAUUCAUCACGCGUAGAUAACAAAAAACCCUAAAUCGCGUUUUUACUCAUAUCGCAGUUGCGGUGGCGGUGUUUCUCUUCUUCUCUUUCCGUCGUCGAUCAAGAGGGGUUUCGCUACCCUUUCUCUCUGGCUCAGUUAAGGUACUUCCUUUUCAUACCCUAAUUCCAAUUUCCGUUCGAUUUUUCCUCUCUCGAUUUCGUAGGGUUUCCUACAAGAUUUCAAUUUUCCGUCUUUCUUUCGUUUUUCACUCGUUGUUUUGUUCGAUUUGAAUGCGAAUUAGGUG
Molecule: long non-coding RNA, 333 nt
Filed under: Trifolium pratense (red clover)
Lineage: Eukaryota; Viridiplantae; Streptophyta; Magnoliopsida; Fabales; Fabaceae
Description: long non-coding RNA (TPRA_LNC003278)
Source: RNAcentral